ACGAGUUUGAUCCUGGCUCAGAACGAACGCUGGCGGCAUGCCUAACACAUGCAAGUCGAACGAGACCUUCGGGUCUAGUGGCGCACGGGUGCGUAACACGUGGGAAUUUGCCUCGGGGUAUGGAAUAACUCAGGGAAACUUGAGCUAAUACCAUAUAAUGUCUUCGGACCAAAGAUUUAUCGCCCUGAGAUAAGCCCGCGUAGGAUUAGCUAGUUGGUGAGGUAAAGGCUCACCAAGGCGACGAUCCUUAGCUGGUCUGAGAGGAUGAUCAGCCACACUGGGACUGAGACACGGCCCAGACUCCUACGGGAGGCAGCAGUGGGGGAAUAUUGGACAAUGGGCGAAAGCCUGAUCCAGCAAUGCCGCGUGAGUGAUGAAGGCCUUCGGGUUGUAAAGCUCUUUACUCGGGACGAUAAUGACGGUACCGAGAGAAUAAGCCCCGGCUAACUCCGUG
This 454-nucleotide ribosomal RNA is filed under the name uncultured bacterium. RNAcentral describes it as "bacterial SSU rRNA". It matches the Rfam family "Bacterial small subunit ribosomal RNA", at positions 1 to 507 of the family's 1533-position model. The record is from RNAcentral.